This 200-nucleotide unclassified non-coding RNA is filed under the name Sporidiobolales sp. Its description in RNAcentral is "partial contains internal transcribed spacer 2 and large subunit ribosomal RNA". The record is from RNAcentral. Lineage: Eukaryota; Fungi; Basidiomycota; Microbotryomycetes; Sporidiobolales. RNAcentral also lists the same sequence under 1 other name.
CUGGUUCCUUGUUGAACUUCAGCUCGCUUAAAAUACAUUAGCAUCUCAAUUUCGAAACUUGGAUUGACUCAGCGUAAUAGACUUUUCGCUGAGGACACCUUCAGGGUGGCCAUGUUAGAUAACGAUUGAUGCUUAUAGCACUCUAUCUAGUCACUCUUAGAUUAGACCUCAGAUCAGGCAGGAUUACCCGCUGAACUUAA